RNAcentral lists this ribosomal RNA (447 nucleotides) under uncultured bacterium. RNAcentral describes it as "bacterial SSU rRNA". It matches the Rfam family "Bacterial small subunit ribosomal RNA", at positions 355 to 825 of the family's 1533-position model. The record is from RNAcentral.
UGGGGAAUCUUGGACAAUGGGCGCAAGCCUGAUCCAGCCAUGCCGCGUGAGUGAAGAAGGCCUUCGGGUUGUAAAGCUCUUUUACCAGGGACGAUAAUGACGGUACCUGGAGAAUAAGCCCCGGCAAACUUCGUGCCAGCAGCCGCGGUAAUACGAAGGGGGCUAGCGUUGUUCGGAAUUACUGGGCGUAAAGCGCACGUAGGCGGAUUGUUAAGUCAGAGGUGAAAUCCCGGAGCUCAACUUUGGAACUGCCUUUGAUACUGGCAAUCUAGAGUCCGGAAGAGGUUAGUGGAAUUCCCAGUGUAGAGGUGAAAUUCGUAGAUAUUCGGAAGAACACCAGUGGCGAAGGCGGCUCACUGGACGUGUAUUGACGCUGAGGUACGAAAGCGUGGGGAGCAAACAGGAUUAGAUACCCCCGUAGUCCCUGAGCGGGCUGGCAAGGCGCAU